RNAcentral lists this long non-coding RNA (1784 nucleotides) under Triticum aestivum (bread wheat). RNAcentral describes it as "long non-coding RNA (TAES_LNC025801)". The record is from RNAcentral. Lineage: Eukaryota; Viridiplantae; Streptophyta; Magnoliopsida; Poales; Poaceae.
ACAAACAAGUUCACCCAACGAGUUUCUAAAACCAAUGAGUUCACCCAAAAGUCCGAACUGAUGGAGCAUUCCACAUGUACUUCAAUAGUAAGUAUAUAUUACAUUGCAAUGAUAUUCACAAAUAUGGCAUUUUCUUUCGUGUACACAAACUGCAUUUCCAGCAACAGAUUGUCAACAAAAUUUCGGCACUUUGUAGAUGACAACAAUGUCCGCACUAUCCACGCGAGAUGGCAAAUGUGUGGGUUCUUGUUAGAGUUGUGUUGAAUAUAGUGUACAAGGUAGGUUACAGUUGAACUAGGAGUUGUAUUGUUUUUACAUAGGAUAUGGAGUCGUGUCCUAGUAGGACACUUGUAUCCUAGGCCUCUCAUAUAUAGCGGGGGUAGACACACGAUGUAACCUAUGCCAACAUAAUAGCACGGGCACGCGGGGGAGCCGGCGGCGUGUGCCGGCGCUCGGGCAGCCAGAGUGCGGUAUUGUGACGGUGUCACGGGGAGAAGCGCUAGUAGUCAGGCCCCGGGAUGUAGCCAUAGCGGUGAACCUCGUUAACAAAUUUCGGUGUCGUGCUCAUGUGAUUGCUUGGUCCUCGAAUGAUCAACGGUAUGCCUCGAAUUUAUUCUAACAAGUGGUAUCAUGAGCUAGGUUGUUCGGAGGUCGUUGUGUUGAUCAAGAGGUGGCCGAACUGUGUGUUGAUUUCGUUCGUCGUGGACGGCGUUUGUGGAUAUCAGCAUAAUCGGACAGCGGCGGAAAAGAAGCAACGAGAAGCCGGCAGAGUUCUCGGCGAGAUCGGGUAGCAGCAUCGUAUGGCGCAAGCAGUUGACGGAUCGAUUGAUGCAACGCCUGGAAGCGGCUGGUCUGGUGCGCGUUGGCGCAGCGUUCGUGAGGUCCAGUUAAGCAGCGGCCUGGCAGGAGCCCGUGGCCCAUGUGUGGCUGUUUGGUCAAGCCUGGCUGACCUGGUGGAGGCGUGCACGGGGGCGUACGGACUACGGAGGCUGGCAGGGCUGCAUUACUGUAUGGUGUGGAAAGCUAUGAAUCUGUACGAGAAAACUGCUGCUGGAUAUGCGAGGCAAGGUGAGAUUUGUUUGAGACAAAAAAAGGAAGGAUCGAGUCCUCGUGUGACACAGAAAGGCAGGAGACAGAUCAAUUUGGCGAUGAAAACAAUUCAUCACGUUGGAAUCCAUCAGAUUUAGCAGGAGUUGACAAAGCAACAGCCGGUUGAGCUAGAGCUACUACACGUGAAGAUCAAAAGUUUUUGGUCGCAAGUGCUAGUAGUACACGCAUGUUCUGUCGUGUACUUGUGCAUCACAGGGAGAUUGCUCACGUAUUUUUCACAAAGUCAGCCGUACAAAGAACCAGAACGUCAAUGGGUGUCAGGUUUGAGGUGGAGAAGUUUGUGGAACUGGAAACCUUGGGUUAUGGCAGACAUGAGUGAAAGAUUGUUGAUGCGACAGGGAUGCUUGAAGGCGUUGCGGGAAGUCAUGCCAGCUCAGAUGAAAUUAUCAUGUGAUGGAUGGAAAUUCACGGAAGACGAUUUGGGAGCCUCGAGCGUGUCAUGCAGUCGGAGAAGUUCGGCUUGGUUGGACUAGAUAGUCUGACGGAUCGACGUGAGUCGGUUGAUACAGAAGACGGUGUUGGGAUCGGCGACGACGACAUAGGCGCGUGAUGCUUUUGGUGACUGACUUCUGGGCGUGGAAACACGCGGCACGGGCCCAGAGGGCUUGUGUGACUUCGACAAGACUAUGACGCAGGGUUGAUUCAAGGUGGUGUAUACACGGAGCUUGAAAUCG